Molecule: ribosomal RNA, 1260 nt
Filed under: metagenome
Description: bacterial SSU rRNA
Rfam family: Bacterial small subunit ribosomal RNA
Source: RNAcentral
AGUUGGUGAGGUAAAGGCUCACCAAGGCGACGAUCUGUAGCGGGUCUGAGAGGAUGAUCCGCCACACUGGAACUGAGACACGGUCCAGACUCCUACGGGAGGCAGCAGUGGGGAAUUUUGGACAAUGGGGGCAACCCUGAUCCAGCCAUGCCGCGUGAGUGAAGAAGGCCUUCGGGUUGUAAAGCUCUUUCGGCCGGGAAGAAAUCGUAUGGGUUAAUACCCUGUGCGGAUGACGGUACCGGCAUAAGAAGCACCGGCUAACUACGUGCCAGCAGCCGCGGUAAUACGUAGGGUGCGAGCGUUAAUCGGAAUUACUGGGCGUAAAGCGUGCGCAGGCGGUUUUGUAAGACAGGCGUGAAAUCCCCGGGCUCAACCUGGGAACUGCGCUUGUGACUGCAAGGCUAGAGUAUGGCAGAGGGGGGUGGAAUUCCACGUGUAGCAGUGAAAUGCGUAGAGAUGUGGAGGAACACCAAUGGCGAAGGCAGCCCCCUGGGCCAAUACUGACGCUCAUGCACGAAAGCGUGGGUAGCAAACAGGAUUAGAUACCCUGGUAGUCCACGCCCUAAACGAUGUCAACUAGGUGUUGGGUGGGUAAAACCAUUUAGUACCGGAGCUAACGCGUGAAGUUGACCGCCUGGGGAGUACGGCCGCAAGGUUAAAACUCAAAGGAAUUGACGGGGACCCGCACAAGCGGUGGAUGAUGUGGAUUAAUUCGAUGCAACGCGAAAAACCUUACCUACCCUUGACAUGUCCAGGAGCCUGAAGAGAUUUGGGUGUGCCCGAGAGGGAACUGGAACACAGGUGCUGCAUGGCUGUCGUCAGCUCGUGUCGUGAGAUGUUGGGUUAAGUCCCGCAACGAGCGCAACCCUUGUCGUUAAUUGCCAUCAUUUAGUUGGGCACUUUAACGAGACUGCCGGUGACAAACCGGAGGAAGGUGGGGAUGACGUCAAGUCCUCAUGGCCCUUAUGGGUAGGGCUUCACACGUCAUACAAUGGUCGGUACAAAGGGUUGCCAACCCGCGAGGGGGAGCCAAUCCCAGAAAGCCGAUCGUAGUCCGGAUCGCAGGCUGCAACUCGCCUGCGUGAAGUCGGAAUCUCUAGUAAUCGUGGAUCAGCAUGUCACGGUGAAUACGUUCCCGGGUCUUGUACACACCGCCCGUCACACCAUGGGAGCGGGUUCCGCCAGAAGUAGGUAGCCUAACCGCAAGGGGGGCGCUUACCACGGCGGGGUUCGUGACUGGGGUGAAGUCGUAACAAGGUA